GCUUACACAUGCAAGUCGAACGAUGAACCGCUUUCGGGCGGGGAUUAGUGGCGAACGGGUGAGUAACACGUGGGCAAUCUGCCCUGCACUCUGGGACAAGCCCUGGAAACGGGGUCUAAUACCGGAUAUGACUGUCCAUCGCAUGGUGGAUGGUGUAAAGCUCCGGCGGUGCAGGAUGAGCCCGCGGCCUAUCAGCUUGUUGGUGAGGUAGUGGCUCACCAAGGCGACGACGGGUAGCCGGCCUGAGAGGGCGACCGGCCACACUGGGACUGAGACACGGCCCAGACUCCUACGGGAGGCAGCAGUGGGGAAUAUUGCACAAUGGGCGAAAGCCUGAUGCAGCGACGCCGCGUGAGGGAUGACGGCCUUCGGGUUGUAAACCUCUUUCAGCAGGGAAGAAGCGAAAGUGACGGUACCUGCAGAAGAAGCGCCGGCUAACUACGUGCCAGCAGCCGCGGUAAUACGUAGGGCGCAAGCGUUGUCCGGAAUUAUUGGGCGUAAAGAGCUCGUAGGCGGCUUGUCACGUCGGUUGUGAAAGCCCGGGGCUUAACCCCGGGUCUGCAGUCGAUACGGGCAGGCUAGAGUUCGGUAGGGGAGAUCGGAAUUCCUGGUGUAGCGGUGAAAUGCGCAGAUAUCAGGAGGAACACCGGUGGCGAAGGCGGAUCUCUGGGCCGAUACUGACGCUGAGGAGCGAAAGCGUGGGGAGCGAACAGGAUUAGAUACCCUGGUAGUCCACGCCGUAAACGGUGGGCACUAGGUGUGGGCAACAUUCCACGUUGUCCGUGCCGCAGCUAACGCAUUAAGUG
RNAcentral lists this ribosomal RNA (806 nucleotides) under Streptomyces violascens. RNAcentral's name for it is "bacterial SSU rRNA". It matches the Rfam family "Bacterial small subunit ribosomal RNA", at positions 46 to 866 of the family's 1533-position model. Lineage: Bacteria; Bacillati; Actinomycetota; Actinomycetes; Kitasatosporales; Streptomycetaceae. The record is from RNAcentral.